AUGAUGAUCAUAAUUCAAAUGAUGAUCCUGAAGUCGAUGAACAUUCCUUGGAUGACAAUAUUGAUGCUGAUGUUAAUGAGGACAAUACGGGAGAGGAAGAUUCGCAGCCUUCACCUGAUGCUCGGAAUGGGGCCGGUGAGAGAAUUGGGCCUGGAGUUCCCUGCCCGCCCUGAUGAUGUCGAAGCUGUAGGUUGCUAUCCAAAUGUGUCAGUUGCUUAUCGGAUCCUCUUGACUAUACCGGUGACUGUAGCCUCAGCUGAAAGAAGUUUCUCUAAACUGAAACUACUGAAAAAUUGUUUGAGGUCAACUAUGUUACAAGAGAGAUUGAAUGGCUUGGCUACCUGUUGUAUUGAGAAGGAUAUCUUGGACAGAAUUGAUCUUGAUACUCUCAUCAAUGAUUUUGCAUCCCGAAAUGCUCGAAGAAGUUUUUUUGUGAAAAACUGA
Molecule: ribosomal RNA, 444 nt
Filed under: Triticum aestivum (bread wheat)
Lineage: Eukaryota; Viridiplantae; Streptophyta; Magnoliopsida; Poales; Poaceae
Description: partial small subunit ribosomal RNA
Source: RNAcentral